UAUUCUUGUGAUUCCAUAUUUUCUCCCUUGCAGUUGGAAGCCAGUAUUAAAAAUGGAGAUCUUCAGGGCUUUCAAUUGUUUAGCGAGGCUGCAAAGCAUACUUCAUUCACGAGUAGAAAGAAAGAUCUGACUGGGCAUGAAGGGACCUCUGAGGAGGGGAGGAAAAGAGAAAAUAAGAACCUGCCAUCCAGCGAAGAGAUUGGGAGGUGGGGAGUUCCCAAGAAGCCUUUACAAGAUCAUGAACGCUCGAAUGAAGAUUGGGAUGAUGAUGAAAGAAGCAAACACUAGAAGGUCAGACCGUGUUCAGAGUUGCAGGCAAGCAAUUUGAAUUGCAGAACGUGGCUUUUGUGCCCAGACAAAAAUGUAGUGAAUGUUGACCACGACUGCAAGCUCAGCGCAUAAGGGAGAGUCAAGAGGGAUACCACAAUUGUCCGAUAUUACCGGCAGCACACUGUUAUAAAUCAUACGAUGCUUUCACAUAAAGAAUGUAGAAUGUAGAAUCGGUUUGCAGACCAUCGAAAUGAAUUUGUUAUGUAUAGGUCCUUUUAGCAUGUCGCACAUUCUGGAUGGCUUUUUCAUUUUCGACUCUGGUUGGCUAAGGGCCAUGGUUUUUUAUUUAUUAAUUGGGUUGUUUUAUUUGAGGAAAUGAGGAAUGAAAAUGAAGCACAGUAACAUUACCAAGAAA
Molecule: non-coding RNA, 685 nt
Organism: Prunus mume (Japanese apricot)
Lineage: Eukaryota; Viridiplantae; Streptophyta; Magnoliopsida; Rosales; Rosaceae
Source: RefSeq, a predicted model, not a curated record